RNAcentral lists this ribosomal RNA (253 nucleotides) under uncultured bacterium. RNAcentral describes it as "partial 16S ribosomal RNA". It matches the Rfam family "Bacterial small subunit ribosomal RNA", at positions 524 to 776 of the family's 1533-position model. The record is from RNAcentral.
GACGUAGGGGGCAAGCGUUAUUCGGAAUUAUUGGGCGUAAAGCGCUCGUAGGCGGGACUGGAAGUCCGUGUUGAAAGACCUCGGCUCAACUGAGGGACCGGCUCGGAUACUCUAGUUCUUGAGGCAAUCAGAGGGUGAUGGAAUUCCCGGUGUAGCGGUGAAAUGCGUAGAUAUCGGGAGGAGCACCAGUGGCGAAGGCGAUCACCUGGGGUUGUUCUGACGCUGAGGAGCGAAAGCUAGGGGAGCAAACGGG